GAUGAACGCUGGCGGCGUGCCUAAUACAUGCAAGUCGAGCGAACGGACGAGAAGCUUGCUUCUCUGAUGUUAGCGGCGGACGGGUGAGUAACACGUGGAUAACCUACCUAUAAGACUGGGAUAACUUCGGGAAACCGGAGCUAAUACCGGAUAAUAUUUUGAACCGCAUGGUUCAAAAGUGAAAGACGGUCUUGCUGUCACUUAUAGAUGGAUCCGCGCUGCAUUAGCUAGUUGGUAAGGUAACGGCUUACCAAGGCAACGAUGCAUAGCCGACCUGAGAGGGUGAUCGGCCACACUGGAACUGAGACACGGUCCAGACUCCUACGGGAGGCAGCAGUAGGGAAUCUUCCGCAAUGGGCGAAAGCCUGACGGAGCAACGCCGCGUGAGUGAUGAAGGUCUUCGGAUCGUAAAACUCUGUUAUUAGGGAAGAACAUAUGUGUAAGUAACUGUGCACAUCUUGACGGUACCUAAUCAGAAAGCCACGGCUAACUACGUGCCAGCAGCCGCGGUAAUACGUAGGUGGCAAGCGUUAUCCGGAAUUAUUGGGCGUAAAGCGCGCGUAGGCGGUUUUUUAAGUCUGAUGUGAAAGCCCACGGCUCAACCGUGGAGGGUCAUUGGAAACUGGAAAACUUGAGUGCAGAAGAGGAAAGUGGAAUUCCAUGUGUAGCGGUGAAAUGCGCAGAGAUAUGGAGGAACACCAGUGGCGAAGGCGACUUUCUGGUCUGUAACUGACGCUGAUGUGCGAAAGCGUGGGGAUCAAACAGGAUUAGAUACCCUGGUAGUCCACGCCGUAAACGAUGAGUGCUAAGUGUUAGGGGGUUUCCGCCCCUUAGUGCUGCAGCUAACGCAUUAAGCACUCCGCCUGGGGAGUACGACCGCAAGGUUGAAACUCAAAGGAAUUGACGGGGACCCGCACAAGCGGUGGAGCAUGUGGUUUAAUUCGAAGCAACGCGAAGAACCUUACCAAAUCUUGACAUCCUUUGACAACUCUAGAGAUAGAGCUUUCCCCUUCGGGGGACAAAGUGACAGGUGGUGCAUGGUUGUCGUCAGCUCGUGUCGUGAGAUGUUGGGUUAAGUCCCGCAACGAGCGCAACCCUUAAGCUUAGUUGCCAUCAUUAAGUUGGGCACUCUAAGUUGACUGCCGGUGACAAACCGGAGGAAGGUGGGGAUGACGUCAAAUCAUCAUGCCCCUUAUGAUUUGGGCUACACACGUGCUACAAUGGACAAUACAAAGGGCAGCGAAACCGCGAGGUCAAGCAAAUCCCAUAAAGUUGUUCUCAGUUCGGAUUGUAGUCUGCAACUCAACUACAUGAAGCUGGAAUCGCUAGUAAUCGUAGAUCAGCAUGCUACGGUGAAUACGUUCCCGGGUCU
Molecule: ribosomal RNA, 1372 nt
Filed under: uncultured bacterium
Lineage: Bacteria
Description: bacterial SSU rRNA
Rfam family: Bacterial small subunit ribosomal RNA
Source: RNAcentral